Molecule: long non-coding RNA, 1074 nt
Organism: Cyprinus carpio carpio
Lineage: Eukaryota; Metazoa; Chordata; Actinopteri; Cypriniformes; Cyprinidae
Source: Ensembl
GCGAGCUGAUGUCCACUGCAGCGGUGUUUCUGAGCGAGGUGCCGGGAUGGUUUCUGUGGACGGGAGUCUUCGUCCCCGUGACGGCUCUCCUGCUGCUGCUCAUCGCUGUCCUCGGCUGGACACUCAGAGAGAGUAAGACACCCCUCGAAUAACAUCCACACAGAGGAAGAGCUGGCCCUGACACCAGACCCUCGGCGAACAGCCAUUCAUCUGUGUUACGGUCCACGCCGGCGAUGAAGAGCGUCAGUCCAGAUCACACGAGCCGUCAGAGAGCAACGAGAAGCGUGUUAGUGAUGCUCAACUCAAGCCUCCACCUCUCCUCAAACAGCAGACUGGAAGUCCUGAGACACAUGCAUGUUAUUUGGUGUAGUGCAGAAGUGUGUAGUGUUUGUAAUGACUAUCAAAUACUGUAUGCUGUGCACUGAUCACACAUCACUGUACCAACUCUUAUGAAUGCAAAGCCUUCACAGUAUCCUACUCAACUACGUCAAAAAUAUGAAUUUUAGGCUUCAACUUUACCAGGAUAAAUGAGCAAAACCAAAAAGAAUGAGCAAUCUCCUGUUGAACUUGAAGAGGACAUUGUGUCACACGCUAGGACACAAACAACAGCUCGCACGCUCAGACAUCACAAAACUACCAAGGUCUUUGUAUUAUUUCACAGCUCAGCUGCAGCAUAGAGACUGACUGAAAUAAGAACAGCCUCGGAAAACUUCAGUAUUACUUUUGCAAUGAAUAAAAAAUGGUUGAGAGUCUCCAGUUAAAGCAAGAAAAACACUUAAAAUAUGAAACUCAGAAUGGAGAUGAAUCGUAUAUAAGUGAAUAUUGCAAUGUUUUUGUUGUUGAAGUGGACUAUCACUUGUAUCAUGCCUAUAUUUCAGCUUCCAGCCAAAUAGACAUUACUGUAACUCACUGUAUUUUACGGACCAAAGCCAAUUUUUACAUGCAUUUGGAGCUUGGCAUGCAUUAAACGUGCAUUCAGCAGUUUUUUUUUUUUUUUUUCAAGCUUUAGGCAUUAAUAAACAAACAAACAAACAGUGUUUUUGUUUAGAAUAAUCUGAAUGGUGCACACUCACA